CUUCGUGCGACCACCAAACCCCCUUCCUUCCCCUCCCCCAGCUUCAGUACCACCAACCCUCCUCUCCUCCCCUCCCUCGACUCCGGCACCACCAAUCCCCCUCGUCUCACUUGAGAGCUUUUCGGCACCGGCUUCGCUCGUGACCUAGUGUAAUUAAUUUGCGCAAGGGUUCUUGGAUCUCAGAGCAAAGAACUGUCGUUGAAGCCCACGA
Molecule: long non-coding RNA, 211 nt
Filed under: Elaeis guineensis (African oil palm)
Lineage: Eukaryota; Viridiplantae; Streptophyta; Magnoliopsida; Arecales; Arecaceae
Description: long non-coding RNA (EGUI_LNC030226)
Source: RNAcentral